Molecule: transfer RNA, 63 nt
Filed under: Staphylinidae sp. BMNH 1274656
Lineage: Eukaryota; Metazoa; Arthropoda; Insecta; Coleoptera; Staphylinidae
Description: tRNA-Gly
Source: RNAcentral
AUUUAUAUAGUAUAAAUAUUAUAAUUGAUUUCCAAUCAAUAGAUCUAACAUUUAGUAUAAAUA